Non-coding RNA from Microcebus murinus (gray mouse lemur), 1448 nucleotides. NCBI's taxonomy places the organism in Eukaryota, Metazoa, Chordata, Mammalia, Primates, Cheirogaleidae. The record is from RefSeq and is a predicted model, not a curated record.
UGUACAUGAAUUUAUAAAAAAAAAUAAAAGAAAUGCAAAUACAGCUGGUACUUGGGCAGGACAAAAAUUGUGACAGUGAUGAACACAUGACUAAGGUUGAGGAAACCCUGCGCUAGAGAGUGUUCCUGAGGUUACUUGACUGUACAAUGAGACAUGAAGGAGUGUUAAAUCCUGGAGGUAGGAUUUCCCACCUGUCUCUCCUCUCUGUGAUUCUUCCCGAGCCUUCCUAGAGAAACACAGUGGUCAUGCCACUGAUUUGUGUUGAGGUCCUAAAGGUUAGCCACUACCCUGGGCCUCUUUGUACAGGAAGCAAGAGAUGGGUCCUUAAUGCAGCCUGGCCUUUGCCUCUUUGCUGUAGCACGGGGACUUUAAUUUCUUAUGACCCCUGUGCAAGAGUCUCUUCUCACAGCUGAGAGGAUUCAAGGUCCCAGUUGAUGUUUGGUUAUUUUUGUUUUUUCCUGUUAUGGAAAGGAACCACUGAAUUGCCUUUAUGAAAAGUAGUUUGUCAUUUAGCCAUAGGGAAAUAACAAACAAAAGAGGUCUCUGGGCUCAUUAGGUUUACUGCCUGCCAGCAAAGGACGCUCCUACUCCCAAAUAACCAAAGAAUUAUUUUUGGUUCUUAGUCUACUUUAGUUUUCUGGGUCCCAAGUACUUUCCUCUAACCACUGCUAUGCUACAGAGUGACAGAGUCACUUGCAGAAAACUCAUCCUUGACAGUCUAGACAGUCUUUCUCAUAGAUAGAUCUUGUAACCCCAAGGUGAAGUGUGCCUUUUUGUUUUUAGCACAGACAAUUCGCGAGUGCCUACUCUGUGCCAAGCCCUAGAGCUGGGCUGGGAAAUGUGAAGCCAAGGAAGAUCCAGUUCCUAAAUGGCUGGGCCUCUCCAAAGAGGUCUUGACGGCAUGUGAAAACCCUAAGAGGAAGCACGUGGAAGAGGAAGAUGGCGCAGGACAGCACGAGGGAAGGCUGGGCUCAGAAGCAGGAAGAAGGAAGAAAGUCACUAAGGCGAAAAAAUAUGGUCAUCAAGAAGUUGGGGUUUGGAGUUUCGGGAGGCUGUAAAGCAUCAGCAUGAUGUGGGAGAGAGGAAGAGAAGAGAAAAGAGGAUGAGAGCAAGUUCUGAAGUACAGUCGGUCUGCUGUUCUGAAAUAAAGAGGAGGGAAUUCUGCCAACAGACAGCGUUUGGACUUGAACAGCAACAUCAGCUCUUCUCUGGUCUACAGCCUGCUGUCUCAUCCUGCAGAUUUUGGACUUUCCAGCCUCCAUAAUUGUGUACCCAGAGGGCAAGGUCUGUGCCCACUUUGAUUGCUGGUACUAUCCAUAAUAUAUAGCCAGUGGCCUAUGCAUGCUUAACAAAUACCAUCAGCCAUGAUGUCAAAGGAGACCAAGAGAACAAUGAAGGAAGAAAACAGAUUUUUUUAAUGAGGAUUGGGAAUUGCAAUAUUAUCUUGU